GACGGGGGCCCGCACAAGCGGAGGAACAUGUGGUUUAAUUCGAUGAUACGCGAGGAACCUUACCCGGGCUUGAACUGCAUAUGACAUAUUGAGAGAUCAUUAUUCCCUUCGGGGCAUAUGUGGAGGUGCUGCAUGGUUGUCGUCAGCUCGUGCCGUGAGGUGUCGGCUUAAGUGCCAUAACGAGCGCAACCCCUUCCUUCAGUUGCCAUCGGGUCAUGCCGGGCACUCUGUAGGGACUGCCGCCGUAAGGUGUGAGGAAGGCGGGGAUGACGUCAAAUCAGCACGGCCCUUACGUCCGGGGCUACACACGUGUUACAAUGGGGGGUACAGCGGGAUGCCACCGCGCAAGCGGGCGCCGAUCCUGAAAUCCCUCCGUAGUUCGGAUUGGGGUCUGCAACCCGACCCCAUGAAGCUGGAUUCGCUAGUAAUCGCGCAUCAGCCAUGGCGCGGUGAAUACGUUCCCGGGCCUUGUACACACCGCCCGUCAAGCCAUGAAAGCCGGGAGUACCUGAAGUGCGUAGGGUGAAGGAGCGCCCUAGGUUGAGACCGGUG
Molecule: ribosomal RNA, 552 nt
Filed under: uncultured bacterium
Lineage: Bacteria
Description: bacterial SSU rRNA
Rfam family: Bacterial small subunit ribosomal RNA
Source: RNAcentral